AAGUCCUUUAAUUACUGUCCAGAGAGGCAGGCAAGGAGCUAUGAGAAGUGCGCAGGUGAACUGUGCCAUGUUUUUGUGUAUCUCCUUGUUUCAAGGGGAUUUUUUGUAU
Molecule: non-coding RNA, 109 nt
Organism: Streptococcus thermophilus CNCM I-1630
Lineage: Bacteria; Bacillati; Bacillota; Bacilli; Lactobacillales; Streptococcaceae
Source: Rfam